Molecule: long non-coding RNA, 1042 nt
Organism: Oreochromis aureus
Lineage: Eukaryota; Metazoa; Chordata; Actinopteri; Cichliformes; Cichlidae
Source: Ensembl
CUGGGUCAACUUUGCUUGCGGGAGACAGAGAGAGGCGUUGAAAGGCUGCUCCAACGGAACUUAUUUUUUCCGGAGGAAAACACGAACACAGUGUACAGUUGAGUCUUAAUAGCUUACUUACAAAUGGGCUCGUCAGGCACUCUUCUUGGCUGCAGUGGUUAUUAUUAUAUUUACAUGCUUCCAGCUCCCGUUUUUGCUCCGUGACAGCUCGGACUUUUCUUUUCUCUCCCUCCCUCGCUCACAGACACAUAACGUGUAUGGCAGUCCAUUCUCGCUGCAGCACGGACUACACUGCCCAUGAUGCUACAUUCUUUAGGGCCAUGCCUGUAGCAUUCUGCCUAUUAGCUUAGCACAACAACAACAACAAAAAAGCGCUCUCUCACCCACGAAACACGCAGAGAGAGAGAGCGUCACCCUGUAACCAUGGCAACCGUAACGCUGCCGCCUGGAACAACAGAACACAGCUGUCAAACAAACCCAAACAAUCCUGACCCGUGACAAUAUGAAACAGGAAAGUACCGCCGUGUAAUCCAUUUAUUUCAACAAAGUAACUGUAUUCUGAAUACCACCUUUUUAAACGGUAACUGUAACGGAAUACAGUUACUCAUAUUUUGUAUUCUAAAUACGUAACGGCGGUACAUGUAUUCUGUUACUCCCCAACACUGUCUGUACUUUACUUGAGUAGUUUUUUUCUGAAUACUUUUUACUUUUACUCCCUACAUUUUAAAUGGUUUGUUCCAGCUCGCCUCUCCCCUACUCUGGCUCUAGCGCCCUUUCUGCCAGAGCUGAGACGCAGCGGAGCGGAGGUAGAGACAGCCAGGUUCAUAAUGGAUAUAAGGAAGUUUUUUUCAAAAAAAGGAGCCACAUUCAGCAUGUCUUUAUCCUGUUUUUCUUCUCUCACCCCAACCGGUCUCAGCAGAUGGCCGCCCCUCCCUGAGCCUGGUUCUGCCGGAGGUUUCUUCCUGUUAAAAGGGAGUUUUUCCUUCCCACUGUCGCCAAAGUGCUUGCUCAUAGGGGGUCAUAUGAUUGUUGGGUUUUUCUC